AACCUACGGGGGGCAGCCGUCGGGCCUCUUCCCCCCUGUCCUCCCGUCUGCUGGAGCAACGCCGCGUGAGUGAAGAAGGGUUUCGGCUCGUAAAGCUCUGUUGGUAGUGAAGAAAGAUAGAGGUAGUAACUGGCCUUUAUUUGACGGUAAUUACUUAGAAAGUCACGGCUAACUACGUGCCAGCAGCCGCGGUAAUACGUAGGAGGCAAGCGUUGUCCGGAUUUAUUGGGCGUAAAGC
This 238-nucleotide ribosomal RNA is filed under the name uncultured bacterium. RNAcentral's name for it is "partial 16S ribosomal RNA". It matches the Rfam family "Bacterial small subunit ribosomal RNA", at positions 335 to 566 of the family's 1533-position model. The record is from RNAcentral.